UAGAGUUUGAUCCUGGCUCAGAUUGCCCUCUGGCGGCAGGCCUAACACAUGCAAGUCGAGCGGCAGCGGGAAAGUAGCUUGCUACUUUUGCCGGCGAGCGGCGGACGGGUGAGUAAUGCCUGGGGAUCUGCCCAGUCGAGGGGGAUAACUACUGGAAACGGUAGCUAAUACCGCAUACGCCCUACGGGGGAAAGCAGGGGACCUUCGGGCCUUGCGCGAUUGGAUGAACCCAGGUGGGAUUAGCUAGUUGGUGAGGUAAUGGCUCACCAAGGCGACGAUCCCUAGCUGGUCUGAGAGGAUGAUCAGCCACACUGGAAUUGAGACACGGUCCAGACUCCUACGGGAGGCAGCAGUGGGGAAUAUUGCACAAUGGGGGAAAUCCUGAUGCAGCCAUGCCGCGUGUGUGAAGAAGGCCUUCGGGUUGUAAAGCACUUUCAGCGAGGAGGAAAGGUUGGUAGCUAAUAACUGCCGGCUGUGACGUUACUCGCAGAAGAAGCACCGGCUAACUCCGUGCCAGCAGCCGCGGUAAUACGGAGGGUGCAAGCGUUAAUCGGAAUUACUGGGCGUAAAGCGCACGCAGGCGGUUGGAUAAGUUAGAUGUGAAAGCCCCGGGCUCAACCUGGGAAUUGCAUUUAAAACUGUCCAGCUAGAGUCUUGUAGAGGGGGGUAGAAUUCCAGGUGUAGCGGUGAAAUGCGUAGAGAUCUGGAGGAAUACCGGUGGCGAAGGCGGCCCCCUGGACAAAGACUGACGCUCAGGUGCGAAAGCGUGGGGAGCAAACAGG
RNAcentral lists this ribosomal RNA (782 nucleotides) under uncultured bacterium. RNAcentral describes it as "bacterial SSU rRNA". It matches the Rfam family "Bacterial small subunit ribosomal RNA", at positions 1 to 776 of the family's 1533-position model. The record is from RNAcentral.